AAACCAAUUAAAAUCGGCCAAAACUAGGAUAAAACUUACAAUGCCGAGGCAAACUGCGCAGUGGACGGCAGAGCAGCACUGGAGCAUGGUGGCACAGCCAUGCCGGAAUCCAUAAAAUUUGCUGGAAUGAGUUUUGGACACUGAUUUUGGAUUUUUGAGGUAUUUUUAGGUGUGUGACGAGUGUUUUGAAUUCAAGGAACCCAGUACCCGUUAAGAGGCAU
This 221-nucleotide long non-coding RNA is filed under the name Carica papaya (papaya). RNAcentral describes it as "long non-coding RNA (CPAP_LNC000858)". The record is from RNAcentral. Lineage: Eukaryota; Viridiplantae; Streptophyta; Magnoliopsida; Brassicales; Caricaceae.